GAUGAACGCUGGCGGCGUGCCUAAUACAUGCAAGUCGAGCGAACAGAUAAGGAGCUUGCUCCUUUGACGUUAGCGGCGGACGGGUGAGUAACACGUGGGUAGCCUACCUAUAAGACUGGAAUAACUCCGGGAAACCGGUGCUAAUGCCGGAUAACAUUUAGAACCGCAUGGUUCUAAAGUGAAAGAUGGUUUUGCUAUCACUUAUAGAUGGACCCGCGCCGUAUUAGCUAGUUGGUAAGGUAACGGCUUACCAAGGCAACGAUACGUAGCCGACCUGAGAGGGUGAUCGGCCACACUGGAACUGAGACACGGUCCAGACUCCUACGGGAGGCAGCAGUAGGGAAUCUUCCGCAAUGGGCGAAAGCCUGACGGAGCAACGCCGCGUGAGUGAUGAAGGUCUUCGGAUCGUAAAACUCUGUUAUUAGGGAAGAACAAAUGUGUAAGUAACUGUGCACGUCUUGACGGUACCUAAUCAGAAAGCCACGGCUAACUACGUG
Molecule: ribosomal RNA, 497 nt
Filed under: uncultured bacterium
Lineage: Bacteria
Description: partial 16S ribosomal RNA
Rfam family: Bacterial small subunit ribosomal RNA
Source: RNAcentral